This 389-nucleotide ribosomal RNA is filed under the name Rhizosolenia sp. Its description in RNAcentral is "partial small subunit ribosomal RNA". It matches the Rfam family "Eukaryotic small subunit ribosomal RNA", at positions 582 to 975 of the family's 1831-position model. Lineage: Eukaryota; Bacillariophyta; Coscinodiscophyceae; Rhizosoleniales; Rhizosoleniaceae. The record is from RNAcentral.
AUUCCAGCUCCAAUAGUGUAUAUUAAAGUUGUUGCAGUUAAAAAGCUCGUAGUUGGAUUUCUGGCGGGAGCGAUCGGUCCUUCACUCAGUGUUGGAACCUGAUUGUCUCCUGCCAUCCAUGGAGAAAACUUAUCUGGCAUUAAGUUGUCGGGUAGGCAAUCUCCAUCUUUUACUGUGAAAAAAUUAGAGUGUUCAAAGCAGGCUUAUGCCGUUGAAUAUAUUAGCAUGGAAUAAUAAGAUAGGAUCUUCGUCUAUUUUGUUGGUUGCGGACAAAGAUAAUGAUUAAUAGGGAUAGUUGGGGGUGUCUGUAUUGUGUUGUCAGAGGUGAAAUUCUUAGAUUUACACAAGACAAACUACUGCGGAAGCAUUCACCAAGGAUGUUUUCAUUG